CCUACGGGAGGCAGCAGUGAGGAAUAUUGGUCAAUGGACGCAAGUCUGAACCAGCCAUGCCGCGUGCAGGAAGACGGCUCUAUGAGUUGUAAACUGCUUUUGUACGAGGGUAAACGCAGAUACGUGUAUCUGUCUGCAAGUAUCGUAUGAAUAAGGACCGGCUAAUUCCGUGCCAGCAGCCGCGGUAAUACGGAAGAUUCAAGCGUUAUCCGGAUUUAUUGGGUUUAAAGGGUGCGUAGGCGGUAGGAUAAGUUAGAGGUGAAAUUUCGGGGCUCCACCUCGGAAUUGCCUCUGAUACUGGUGGGCUAGAGAGUAGUGGAGGUAGGCGGAAUGUAUGGUGUAGCGGUGAAAUGCUUAGAGAUCAUACAGAACACCGAUUGCGAAGGCAGCUUACCAAGCUACUUCUGACGUUGAGGCGCGAAAGCGUGGGGAGCAAACAGGAUUAGAUACCCGAGUAGUC
RNAcentral lists this ribosomal RNA (460 nucleotides) under uncultured bacterium. RNAcentral's name for it is "partial 16S ribosomal RNA". It matches the Rfam family "Bacterial small subunit ribosomal RNA", at positions 338 to 795 of the family's 1533-position model. The record is from RNAcentral.